RNAcentral lists this ribosomal RNA (1438 nucleotides) under Limosilactobacillus fermentum. Its description in RNAcentral is "bacterial SSU rRNA". It matches the Rfam family "Bacterial small subunit ribosomal RNA". Lineage: Bacteria; Bacillati; Bacillota; Bacilli; Lactobacillales; Lactobacillaceae. The record is from RNAcentral.
GCAGUCGAACGCGUUGGCCCAAUUGAUUGAUGGUGCUUGCACCUGAUUGAUUUUGGUCGCCAACGAGUGGCGGACGGGUGAGUAACACGUAGGUAACCUGCCCAGAAGCGGGGGACAACAUUUGGAAACAGAUGCUAAUACCGCAUAACAGCGUUGUUCGCAUGAACAACGCUUAAAAGAUGGCUUCUCGCUAUCACUUCUGGAUGGACCUGCGGUGCAUUAGCUUGUUGGUGGGGUAACGGCCUACCAAGGCGAUGAUGCAUAGCCGAGUUGAGAGACUGAUCGGCCACAAUGGGACUGAGACACGGCCCAUACUCCUACGGGAGGCAGCAGUAGGGAAUCUUCCACAAUGGGCGCAAGCCUGAUGGAGCAACACCGCGUGAGUGAAGAAGGGUUUCGGCUCGUAAAGCUCUGUUGUUAAAGAAGAACACGUAUGAGAGUAACUGUUCAUACGUUGACGGUAUUUAACCAGAAAGUCACGGCUAACUACGUGCCAGCAGCCGCGGUAAUACGUAGGUGGCAAGCGUUAUCCGGAUUUAUUGGGCGUAAAGAGAGUGCAGGCGGUUUUCUAAGUCUGAUGUGAAAGCCUUCGGCUUAACCGGAGAAGUGCAUCGGAAACUGGAUAACUUGAGUGCAGAAGAGGGUAGUGGAACUCCAUGUGUAGCGGUGGAAUGCGUAGAUAUAUGGAAGAACACCAGUGGCGAAGGCGGCUACCUGGUCUGCAACUGACGCUGAGACUCGAAAGCAUGGGUAGCGAACAGGAUUAGAUACCCUGGUAGUCCAUGCCGUAAACGAUGAGUGCUAGGUGUUGGAGGGUUUCCGCCCUUCAGUGCCGGAGCUAACGCAUUAAGCACUCCGCCUGGGGAGUACGACCGCAAGGUUGAAACUCAAAGGAAUUGACGGGGGCCCGCACAAGCGGUGGAGCAUGUGGUUUAAUUCGAAGCUACGCGAAGAACCUUACCAGGUCUUGACAUCUUGCGCCAACCCUAGAGAUAGGGCGUUUCCUUCGGGAACGCAAUGACAGGUGGUGCAUGGUCGUCGUCAGCUCGUGUCGUGAGAUGUUGGGUUAAGUCCCGCAACGAGCGCAACCCUUGUUACUAGUUGCCAGCAUUAAGUUGGGCACUCUAGUGAGACUGCCGGUGACAAACCGGAGGAAGGUGGGGACGACGUCAGAUCAUCAUGCCCCUUAUGACCUGGGCUACACACGUGCUACAAUGGACGGUACAACGAGUCGCGAACUCGCGAGGGCAAGCAAAUCUCUUAAAACCGUUCUCAGUUCGGACUGCAGGCUGCAACUCGCCUGCACGAAGUCGGAAUCGCUAGUAAUCGCGGAUCAGCAUGCCGCGGUGAAUACGUUCCCGGGCCUUGUACACACCGCCCGUCACACCAUGAGAGUUUGUAACACCCAAAGUCGGUGGGGUAACCUUUAGGAGCCAGC